RNAcentral lists this ribosomal RNA (253 nucleotides) under uncultured bacterium. Its description in RNAcentral is "partial 16S ribosomal RNA". It matches the Rfam family "Bacterial small subunit ribosomal RNA", at positions 524 to 776 of the family's 1533-position model. The record is from RNAcentral.
UACGAAGGGGGCUAGCGUUACUCGGAUUGACUGGGCGUAAAGGGCGCGUAGGCGGUUUGUACAGUCAGACGUGAAAUUCCUGGGCUCAACCUGGGGGCUGCGUUUGAUACGUGCGGACUUGAGUUCGGAAGAGGGUCGUGGAAUUCCCAGUGUAGAGGUGAAAUUCGUAGAUAUUGGGAAGAACACCGGUGGCGAAGGCGGCUCUCUGGACCGAGACUGACGCUGAGGCGCGAAAGCGUGGGGAGCAAACAGG